GGGGCUGACCGGUUUUGACAGCAAGGAGGGGGAUUUGUAAGCAUGCAGGCACACGCAUCAAAUGCCUUGAAAAAGGAUGCAAUAAAUUUAAUUGGCGAAAAUAACUACGCUCUUGCUGCAUAACUGAAGUACAGUAGGUUAGCUUAAUCCCCGCAACAGUUGCAGGGACAAGACAUCUCCCAGCGACCACGCCCGUCGGUCAAUGAUUCGGAGGUGCUCAUCGAGAACGGGAUAGUCGGCAACAAGCCUCGGGCUGCCGAUGAAAUUUUAGAGGCUACGGUAGGCCUUGGGUGUCCGUGUCCAGAGUCUGCCCGACAAAUAAUCGCGGGAUAAGCAUGUAGAAAGCACAUCUGUCACUUGUUUGGACGAGGGUUCGACCCCCUCCAGCUCCACUU
Molecule: transfer-messenger RNA, 395 nt
Filed under: Bacteroidales
Lineage: Bacteria; Pseudomonadati; Bacteroidota; Bacteroidia
Also listed under: 1 other name
Description: UBA1711 sp018066145 Standard tmRNA
Rfam family: transfer-messenger RNA
About the family: Bacterial tmRNA, also known as 10Sa RNA or SsrA, is named for its dual tRNA and mRNA-like properties. Its role is to liberate the mRNA from a stalled ribosome.
Source: RNAcentral